Non-coding RNA from Taeniopygia guttata (zebra finch), 1603 nucleotides. Lineage: Eukaryota; Metazoa; Chordata; Aves; Passeriformes; Estrildidae. The record is from RefSeq and is a predicted model, not a curated record.
GGGGUUUGGGGUGAUCUGCUCCUGAGGGGUUUGGGGAGGUGGGACAGACCCACAGAUCCGGGUUCUGGCCAGAGAUUGAUCCUGAGGGGUUUGGGGAGGUGGCACAGACCCACAGAUCCGGGUUCUGCCCAGAGAUCGAUCCUCAGGGACUUGGGGAGGUGGGACAGACCCACAGAUCCGGGUUCUGGCCAGAGAUCGAUCCUCAGGACUUUGGGGAGGUGGGACAGACCCACAGAUCCAGGUUCUGGCCAGAGAUUGAUCCUCAGGGCUUUGGGGAGGUGGGACAGACCCACAAAUCUUGGUUCUGGCCAGAGGGGUUUGGGGAGAUGGGAGAAACCCACAGAUCUGGGUUUUGGCCAGAGAUAAUCCUCAGGGCUUUGGGGAGAUCUGCUCCUCAGGGCUUUGGGGAGAUCUGCUCCUCAGGGCUUUGGGGAGAUCUGCUCCUGAGGGGUUUGGGGAGCUCUGCUCCUCAGGGCUUUGGGGAGAUCUGCUCCUGAGGGCUUUGGGGAGAUCUGCUCCUCAGGGCUUUGGGGAGAUCUGCUCCUCAGGGCUUUGGGGAGAUCUGCUCCUCAGGGCUUUGGGGAGAUCUGCUCCUCAGGGCUUUGGGGAGGUGGGACAGACCCACAGAUCCGGGCUCUGGGUGCAGUGUGCUGUUCCUGUAGGUUUUCCCCUCCGUCUCUCCCUCCUGCUGAGCUCUGUGCAGUGCCCACUCACCCCAGGCAGGGUUGGCACCUCCGUGGGCGCUCUCCCUGCCUGCCCCCCUGUGCUGCCCCUCCGACCCGAGACAUUUUUCUCUGAUUAGCUUUGCUCCCCGCCUCGCCCUUCCUGAGCUUUUAUGGGCAUGGUGGCCAGGCCCGGGAGGCUGCCGGGGAGCUGGGAAGUGUAAAACCUUUGGGAAGGCUUCCCAAAAAAGCUUUGGGAAGGGUUCCAGGCCCCUUACGCAGCUGGGGCCGGAGCAGAAAUGUUUUAACUAAACAAAUGAGCUGUGGGCUGGGUCACUGUGGCAGCCAGAGGUGCUGGCUGCUGUGCCCAGCUGCUUCCAGAUGGUUCUCCCGGCAUUUCCAGCUUCCCUUUUCCACCAGGGAAAUCCUUUCCACCAGGGAGAGCCUCGCCCUGGUGGGAUUUCUGCUUUAGGAGCUGGGUGCCACUGACAUUUCUUCCAGUGAGGAUGGGCAGCUGGAGUUCCAGCAGUGGACUUGGUGUUUUCUACAGGUUUUCCAGGAGUGGGUUUGGUGUUUUCUAGAGGUUUUCCAGCAGUGGGUUUGGUGUUUUCUAGAGGUUUUCCAGCAGUGGGUUUGGUGUUUUCUAGAGGUUUUCCAGCAGUGGGUUUGGUGUUUUCUAGAGGUUUUCCAGCAGUGGGUUUGGUGUUUUCUAGAGGUUUUUCUAAAUGUCUUCAUCCAGAGAGCAGGAGGAGGCUCUGGAGCCUCAUGGAUUUGCUCUGCUCCACUUUUCCUGGAAAUGGGGGAGCUGGGGGUGUUCAGCCUGGAGAAGAAAAGGCUCUGGGGAAACCUGAGGGUCCAAAUAAGAGGGAAAAAAAAGGAAUAAGGCACAACUUUGAGCCAAAAUAACAAGGAAAAAAGAAACAAAACACAACUUUGAGCAA